CCUACGGGAGGCAGCAGCGGGGAAUCUUGCGCAAUGGGCGAAAGCCUGACGCAGCGACGCCGCGUGCGGGAAGAAGGCCUUCGGGUUGUAAACCGCUUUCAGGAGGGACGAAGCUACUCGGGUGAAUAGCCCAGAGGGUGACGGUACCUCCAGAAGAAGCCCCGGCUAACUACGUGCCAGCAGCCGCGGUAAU
This 193-nucleotide ribosomal RNA is filed under the name uncultured bacterium. Its description in RNAcentral is "partial 16S ribosomal RNA". It matches the Rfam family "Bacterial small subunit ribosomal RNA", at positions 338 to 524 of the family's 1533-position model. The record is from RNAcentral.